This 433-nucleotide ribosomal RNA is filed under the name uncultured bacterium. RNAcentral describes it as "partial 16S ribosomal RNA". It matches the Rfam family "Bacterial small subunit ribosomal RNA", at positions 29 to 507 of the family's 1533-position model. The record is from RNAcentral.
AACGAACGCUGGCGGCAUGCCUAACACAUGCAAGUCGAACGAGACCUUCGGGUCUAGUGGCGCACGGGUGCGUAACGCGUGGGAACCUGCCCUUAGGUUCGGAAUAACUCCCCGAAAGGGGUGCUAAUACCGGAUAAUGUCUUCGGACCAAAGAUUUAUCGCCUUUGGAUGGGCCCGCGUUGGAUUAGCUAGUUGGUAGGGUAAAAGCCUACCAAGGCGACGAUCCAUAGCUGGUCUGAGAGGAUGAUCAGCCACACUGGGACUGAGACACGGCCCAGACUCCUACGGGAGGCAGCAGUGGGGAAUAUUGGACAAUGGGCGAAGGCCUGAUCCAGCAAUGCCGCGUGAGUGAUGAAGGCCUUAGGGUUGUAAAGCUCUUUUACCCGGGAUGAUAAUGACAGUACCGGGAGAAUAAGCCCCGGCUAACUCCGUG